AGAAAUAACUUAAAAGUUGGUAGAAAUAACUCAAAAUGGUUUUCGGUUCGAAAAAAAAAGUAAAUGGUACACUUUUUUCUUAAUAAGUUCAUGCGAUUGAAAGAGACAGAAUCUGUUCUUAUCACGCUGACACGUAGACAAAUAGGACCAUCAUAUCCUUACUGGCGUCAUUUAACUAUUUUAAUCCAAAACGAAUUAUGUACAAAAUUGGAAAGAAUUUUAAUAGGUACAGAAAAAAAAACGAUUUUCUAUUUUAGUGACAUCCGUUCUUGAAUAAAUAAGACGGUUAUUGUUCAGAAAUCAUCAGAAUUGAAUUAAGCCCUAAAAAUUUAAACGUGUUUUCGAUAAAGCGCCUAAGCAAACAGACGGGACCCUAAUACAACAUGUUUACAGUAUAAUCGGCUCCUAUUUGCACAUCGUAAUGUUAUCUCCAAUGCGAAGGAGUGCCCGGUAGGUGAUAACCACUCAAAGUAUUCUAGAUAACGACCCAGUAAUGGUUGGAAUUAGUUCCUAUCGUGCGCUUAGACUAAAGUAGUAGUAAAAUUCAAGCUGUAUUAGUGAUAUACUACUGUUUUUCCCUAUUUUCUAGUUAAAUAGUAUUAGAACCUACGUUGGGUUGUGUUCAGUGUGUGUUCGAAGUGGCAUUAGGAUCCAAGGAUGUCUGAAGAUAGCAAGCCGUUGAUACAACUGAUGAAGAAGGCAAACUAUGUGCUGAAAGAAUGAAAGAGAUUGCGGAGACGGCGUACCAUGACGAUGCAGAAAAAAAGAAGAAGAGUGAGGACUUCACCAGAACUUGUUUAUAUGUAAACGAAGAAGGAAUCAGUGGGGAAAGGAAGGAAUGUGAAAGGGCAGCGAAAAUCUUCAAAUGCGCUAUCGACAAUUUUGAUUCGUAAGUUUUACUUUUGUAAUUCGUCAGCGUGAACCUCGCCGAUAAGAUAAGAUAAGAUAAGGUUAUUAAGCUCAAAAGUUUACACCUUAUACAUUUCCUUAUAAUAUAUUACAUAGGAUUCAUCGUCCAAGAGCCU
Cydia pomonella (codling moth) is the source of this 1025-nucleotide long non-coding RNA. RefSeq lists it as uncharacterized. NCBI's taxonomy places the organism in Eukaryota, Metazoa, Arthropoda, Insecta, Lepidoptera, Tortricidae. The record is from RefSeq and is a predicted model, not a curated record. The transcript is spliced from 3 exons.